Molecule: transfer RNA, 71 nt
Filed under: Prevotellaceae bacterium
Lineage: Bacteria; Pseudomonadati; Bacteroidota; Bacteroidia; Bacteroidales; Prevotellaceae
Description: tRNA-Gln
Rfam family: tRNA
About the family: Transfer RNA (tRNA) molecules are approximately 80 nucleotides in length.
Source: RNAcentral
UGUCCUAUGGUGUAACGGUAGCACUACAGAUUCUGGUUCUGUCUGUCAGGGUUCGAAUCCUUGUGGGACAA